This 428-nucleotide ribosomal RNA is filed under the name Bacteroidota bacterium. Its description in RNAcentral is "Bacteroidetes bacterium partial 16S ribosomal RNA". It matches the Rfam family "Bacterial small subunit ribosomal RNA", at positions 355 to 776 of the family's 1533-position model. The record is from RNAcentral. Lineage: Bacteria; Pseudomonadati; Bacteroidota.
UAGGGAAUCUUCGGCAAUGGGGGGAACCCUGACCGAGCAACGCCGCGUGAGUGAAGAAGGUUUCGGAUCGUAAAGCUCUGUUGUUAAGGAAGAACGAGUGUGAGAAUGGAAAGUUCAUACUGUGACGGUACUUAACCAGAAAGGGACGGCUAACUACGUGCCAGCAGCCGCGGUAAUACGUAGGUCCCGAGCGUUGUCCGGAUUUAUUGGGCGUAAAGCGAGCGCAGGCGGUUAGAUAAGUCUGAAGUUAAAGGCAGUGGCUCAACCAUUGUAGGCUUUGGAAACUGUUUAACUUGAGUGCAGAAGGGGAGAGUGGAAUUCCAGGUGUAGCGGUGAAAUGCGUAGAUAUAUGGAGGAACACCGGUGGCGAAAGCGGCUCUCUGGUCUGUAACUGACGCUGAGGCUCGAAAGCGUGGGGAGCGAACAGG